This 468-nucleotide ribosomal RNA is filed under the name uncultured soil bacterium. Its description in RNAcentral is "bacterial SSU rRNA". It matches the Rfam family "Bacterial small subunit ribosomal RNA", at positions 26 to 502 of the family's 1533-position model. The record is from RNAcentral.
AGAUUGAACGCUGGCGGCAUGCCUAACACAUGCAAGUCGAACGGGAGUAGCAAUACUCUAGUGGCGGACGGGUGAGGAAUACGUAGGAAUUUGCCCUUAAGUGGGGGGAUAACCCGGGGAAACCCGGAUUAAUACCGCAUGACCUCGAAAGAGCAAAGUGGGGGAUCGCAAGACCUCACGCUUUUGGAGAAGCCUACGUCGGAUUAGCUAGUUGGUGAGGUAAUGGCUCACCAAGGCGACGAUCCGUAACUGGUCUGAGAGGAUGAUCAGUCACACCGGAACUGAGACACGGUCCGGACUCCUACGGGAGCAGCAGUGGGAAUAUGGACAAUGGGCGCAAGCCUGAUCCAGCAAUGCCGCGUGUGUGAAGAAGGCCUUGGGUUGUAAAGCACUUUAAGUUGGGAAGAAAAACGUACGACGUCUAACACAGUGAGUCUUGACGGUACGACAGAAUAAGCACCGCUAACU